This 218-nucleotide unclassified non-coding RNA is filed under the name Hevea brasiliensis (rubber tree). Lineage: Eukaryota; Viridiplantae; Streptophyta; Magnoliopsida; Malpighiales; Euphorbiaceae. The record is from RNAcentral.
UCGUCAGGCGGGCUAUCGUGAUUCAGCACAGCAUCUGCCCGCGCGGAGCAUCUUGAAUGGCCAUUCUUGUGACACGACCGGUCCCGGAUAACGAGAGGACGGCGGCCGCCCUGCGGGCGCGGGGAUAUGACGCACUGUUGUCGCCGAUGCUGCGGUUCGAGGAAAUUCCGUUUCAUGACGAAGACGACGCAGCCUAUGACGCCGUGAUCCUGACCAGC